GCCAGGUGGGCUUAGAGCCACUGCGUGGUGCACGAGGGUCCUCCAGUUCAUGGGUGCGGUUCCCCCUGUGCCCACAACGUGGCAGCACAGUCUGCUUCAGAGUGAGGCAGGGGACAGCCAUCCCUUGGUUUGGAGGGAACUGAGGCCCCAGAGGCAAGAACUUAGAUUUUCCACUGAGUCUGCCUUGCCCAGCCAGGGCACCCAGGGUUAGUGGGCGUGCGGAAGGGCCCUAACUUGUCAGGGCAGUCUCUCUGUAAGUCUGCAUGUGCCGUGCCUAGGUGACUGCUGCUGGAAACCACCUUCUCUGGCCUCCACCCAGUCUGCCUCUGGGCUCAGCAGACCCUGGCUUCUCUUAGCACAGCGCAGAGUGUACUGUGUACUAUGUGAUCCCAGUGCUUCUACUCUUGGCUGAGAGACUAGGACUGAACUCUAAUGCUCUCCUAGACUCCUAUUAUGAGUGAGGCCCUUUUACGAAUUGUCUCAUUUAAUUCUCAUAACCUCUAACACCUAACUUGGGGCCUGGAUGCAAAUCCUAACUUUGCCAUGUACUAGCUGUGUGACUUUGAGCAAAUUUCUUCACCUCUCUGACUGGCUUGGUUUUUUUCUUUGUAAAGUGGUCACAGGAUUAAGGGAAUGGCUUUAAUAUGCCUGGCACAGACUUAAGUGCUCAGUGUUAAUAAAUGGCAGUGAUGAUACUUGCCCCCAUUUUGUAGAUGAGUAAACUGAAGCCCAGAAAGAUGAAGUAGCAGAGGCAGAAUUAGAACCUGGAUCUGGAGAGAGGAAUGACAUACAGAACCUCGCCUGCAAGUAGGCCUGCAACUGUCCACCUGCCUCAGCCCUGGUGUCUCAGAUGUGACAUACUGCGGGGGCCAGGUGUACAGUCCUGAAUCCCCAGGCCUGUGGCCCAGCAUAAGCCAAGAAGCAGCACAGCUCAGGAUCCAGGCUCAGCGAGUGUCAGGAGUGUCCUGCACUUGGAAGAGUGCUAGGCUGGAGGUUCAGAGACCUGUAUUAUCUAUCCUCCCUUGUAAGAUGAGGACUGCCUGGGGCUGCCUGUUUGGCCUUGCUUUCACUGAGGCCCAGCACCUGGUCACCCUCUGUGGACUGAGGGUCCCAGGCCCAUUGCCGCCUCCUAUCUGGGCCGUAAAGAAGCCCUUAAAGCCAGCUUUAUUCUGCAUACCACGCAGGAGGAAGUGCUCGCUCCUUCCCCCAGGCAGCUCCCCACUUGGCUUUCUCUCUCACCUUCUGCCCCAGGCCCUGCCUACCCCUACCCCCAGCCCAGACUCCACUCCAGGGAUCCUCAGGCCUGCUAGGCUCCCUAGGCUCCCGUUUGGGAGACAGAGAAGGGUAAAGGCCUUGGCUGGGAUCCAGGCCACCUCCUGGAAGGCAAGGGCCCACCUCUCAGCUAGGCUCUCCUGGUUUCCUCCCACUCUCUUGCUGCUCCUGCUUUACCUGUUUGGGGCUUUUCCAUCACUGCCCCCUUCCUUCACAGCUGGCCUUGGGCAAGUGACUUCUCUACCCUUGGCAUCUGUUUACUGUCUAAAGUGGGACCAUCCUUGUACCCACCUUGUACAUCACUUCAAGGACUCAGGCAGACACAGCAGGUACAGCUUUACUGGGGUGCCAGCCUGGUUCAGGGACACCCCUACCUCCACCUGCCUCUCCAUAUCCUAUCAACCACCAUUUUCUGUGGACUGCUUAACAGUGUGGAUUAGUUUUGUGUUUUAUAUUUUCAAUGAAAUAUUUCCAACAUAACUGAAAAGUCAGAAGCCAAAAAGCACUCACCACCCACACAUUAUUUUGUUCUAUUUGCUUCCAAUCUUUUAAAACAUAUAUAAACAUAAUAAAUAUAUGUAUUUUAAACA
Long non-coding RNA from Manis pentadactyla (Chinese pangolin), 1862 nucleotides. RefSeq lists it as uncharacterized. The transcript is spliced from 2 exons. Lineage: Eukaryota; Metazoa; Chordata; Mammalia; Pholidota; Manidae. The record is from RefSeq and is a predicted model, not a curated record.